AAACCAAGACUGCAUGAGGGUGGCUUAGCCACUGGGCAGGCUGCCUGAAGUGAGAGAGUGUAACUUGAAACAGCUUCCAAAUUUCCUCUUCAAUUGAUGGUAAUCUGGAGAUUCAGGGAAAAUAAGAGAAUCUAACAACUAGAUAGAGAAAAAGUACUAAUAAAUUGCUGCUAUGGAAAUGGGAGAAAGAGAUUAAACAAAAGGUAGAAACAAGUGGAAGCUGAAUAUAUCAAGUGAGUCAGUAAAGGUUUUGAUGAUAACAAGGGGUAACAUUUAUUGGGUACCUACCAUGGACCAAGCACAAUUCUAAAUGUUACAUGAAUUGCACUGAAUUCUUCCAACAACCCUGUGAGAAUGGUAUAAUCUUUGUCCCCAUCAUACAGAUGAAGAACUGAGGUACAGAAGUUAAGUAAGGUUCCUAAGGUCAUACAGCUACUAAGUGGAAGGACAGAAUCUGAACCCAGACAGCCAGACCCCAGAGCUGUAAUAUUAUUACUUGUAACCAGCAGAGCCUUAUAAUAUUGCUUUAAAUCUUUCCAUCCCCAUGACAUGGGAGCUACUGUGCACCCUCUUCUAACAUAUGAGGGACAUGCAGUGUAGAGAGGUUGUGUAUUCAUCCUGCGAUCACAUCGUCGGUGGGGGGCAGAAUCGGGUACUACAUCCUUCCUUCUAGAGCUGUGCUUCCCCUGUGCAUGGCGUGGACACUGAUCACUGAGGGAUGUGAAUGGAUGCUACCAGAAAUAGAAGGAUUUCAAGAUCAAACAUGUUUGGGGAAACUCUGAGUUAAGCAAAAUUAAACAGGCUCCCUUUGAGCAGCUUCAUAAACCCGAGCGGCAAACUUCCUCAUUUUAAUUUUAUCUAAAUCACGUGGAAGUAUGUUUGUUGAAUUUGAAAUCAAUGCAAAACCUAGAAUGAAGGAAUUCUCCGUGUAAUGAUACAGAAAGACGGUUUUGAGAUGAAACAGCAUCUAGAGAUGAGCUGCGCCUCAGUGUGCACGGAGUGAACCCGUUAAAGAACAAGCCUCCACGUACACUGUGCACUGGGAAACCGGAGACAUGCCCAGAGCUCUGCAGUGACAGCUUCCUG
Molecule: long non-coding RNA, 1086 nt
Filed under: Equus caballus (horse)
Lineage: Eukaryota; Metazoa; Chordata; Mammalia; Perissodactyla; Equidae
Description: lncRNA (ENSECAG00000058624.1)
Source: RNAcentral